Molecule: ribosomal RNA, 253 nt
Filed under: uncultured bacterium
Lineage: Bacteria
Description: partial 16S ribosomal RNA
Rfam family: Bacterial small subunit ribosomal RNA
Source: RNAcentral
UACGGAGGGGGCAAGCGUUAUUCGGAAUUAUUGGGCGUAAAGGGCGCGUAGGCGGUUCGUCGCGUCGGCUGUGAAAUCCCGAGGCUCAACCUCGGGUCUGCAGUCGAUACGGGCGGACUGGAGUUCGGCAGGGGAGACUGGAAUUCCUGGUGUAGCGGUGAAAUGCGCAGAUAUCAGGAGGAACACCGGUGGCGAAGGCGGGUCUCUGGGCCGAUACUGACGCUGAGGAGCGAAAGCGUGGGGAGCGAACAGG